AGAGUUUGAUCAUGGCUCAGAUUGAACGCUGGCGGCAGGCCUAACACAUGCAAGUCGAACGGUAACAGAAAGAAGCUUGCUUCUUUGCUGACGAGUGGCGGACGGGUGAGUAAUGUCUGGGAAACUGCCUGAUGGAGGGGGAUAACUACUGGAAACGGUAGCUAAUACCGCAUAACGUCGCAAGACCAAAGAGGGGGACCUUCGGGCCUCUUGCCAUCGGAUGUGCCCAGAUGGGAUUAGCUUGUUGGUGGGGUAACGGCUCACCAAGGCGACGAUCCCUAGCUGGUCUGAGAGGAUGACCAGCCACACUGGAACUGAGACACGGUCCAGACUCCUACGGGAGGCAGCAGUGGGGAAUAUUGCACAAUGGGCGCAAGCCUGAUGCAGCCAUGCCGCGUGUAUGAAGAAGGCCUUCGGGUUGUAAAGUACUUUCAGCGGGGAGGAAGGGAGUAAAGUUAAUACCUUUGCUCAUUGACGUUACCCGCAGAAGAAGCACCGGCUAACUCCGUGCCAGCAGCCGCGGUAAUACGGAGGGUGCAAGCGUUAAUCGGAAUUACUGGGCGUAAAGCGCACGCAGGCGGUUUGUUAAGUCAGAUGUGAAAUCCCCGGGCUCAACCUGGGAACUGCAUCUGAUACUGGCAAGCUUGAGUCUCGUAGAGGGGGUAGAAUUCCAGGUGUAGCGGUGAAAUGCGUAGAGAUCUGGAGGAAUACCGGUGGCGAAGGCGGCCCCCUGGACGAAGACUGACGCUCAGGUGCGAAAGCGUGGGGAGCAAACAGGAUUAGAUACCCUGGUAGUCCACGCCGUAAACGAUGUCGACUUGGAGGUUGUGCCCUUGAGGCGUGGCUUCCGGAGCUAACGCGUUAAGUCGACCGCCUGGGGAGUACGGCCGCAAGGUUAAAACUCAAAUGAAUUGACGGGGGCCCGCACAAGCGGUGGAGCAUGUGGUUUAAUUCGAUGCAACGCGAAGAACCUUACCUGGUCUUGACAUCCACGGAAGUUUUCAGAGAUGAGAAUGUGCCUUCGGGAACCGUGAGACAGGUGCUGCAUGGCUGUCGUCAGCUCGUGUUGUGAAAUGUUGGGUUAAGUCCCGCAACGAGCGCAACCCUUAUCCUUUGUUGCCAGCGGUCCGGCCGGGAACUCAAAGGAGACUGCCAGUGAUAAACUGGAGGAAGGUGGGGAUGACGUCAAGUCAUCAUGGCCCUUACGACCAGGGCUACACACGUGCUACAAUGGCGCAUACAAAGAGAAGCGACCUCGCGAGAGCAAGCGGACCUCAUAAAGUGCGUCGUAGUCCGGAUUGGAGUCUGCAACUCGACUCCAUGAAGUCGGAAUCGCUAGUAAUCGUGGAUCAGAAUGCCACGGUGAAUACGUUCCCGGGCCUUGUACACACCGCCCGUCACACCAUGGGAGUGGGUUGCAAAAGAAGUAGGUAGCUUAACCUUCGGGAGGGCGCUUACCACUUUGUGAUUCAUGACUGGGGUGAAGUCGUAACAAGGUAACCGUAGGGGAACCUGCGGUUGGAUCACCU
This 1529-nucleotide ribosomal RNA is filed under the name Escherichia coli. Its description in RNAcentral is "bacterial SSU rRNA". It matches the Rfam family "Bacterial small subunit ribosomal RNA". Lineage: Bacteria; Pseudomonadati; Pseudomonadota; Gammaproteobacteria; Enterobacterales; Enterobacteriaceae. The record is from RNAcentral.